Molecule: ribosomal RNA, 254 nt
Filed under: uncultured bacterium
Lineage: Bacteria
Description: partial 16S ribosomal RNA
Rfam family: Bacterial small subunit ribosomal RNA
Source: RNAcentral
UACGUAGGGGCCUAGCGUUGUCCGGAUUUAUUGGGCGUAAAGAGCUCGUAGGCGGUUUGGUGAGUCGGGUGUGAAAUCUCCACGCUCAACGUGGAGGGGCCACCCGAUACUGCCAUGACUAGAGUCCGGUAGGGGAGUGUGGAAUUCCCGGUGUAGCGGUGAAAUGCGCAGAUAUCGGGAGGAACACCAGUAGCGAAGGCGGUGUUCUGGGCCAGUACUGACGCUGAGGCGCGAAAGCGUGGGGAGCGAACAGG